This is a long non-coding RNA of Megalobrama amblycephala (Wuchang bream), 305 nucleotides long. RefSeq lists it as uncharacterized. The transcript is spliced from 3 exons. The record is from RefSeq and is a predicted model, not a curated record. Lineage: Eukaryota; Metazoa; Chordata; Actinopteri; Cypriniformes; Xenocyprididae.
GGAGGAAAGAAAGAAAUGACAUGAGGAUUUUUGUCCUGACAUAUUACACCUCGAAUGCCGCAUGAAAACAACCCAAACUCCAAAUGAUGCUGGACUUUUUCUCACAAUGAAGAAAGAGAAGAAAAGAAAAAAAAAAGCCUCACAUCAGUUCCAGUGUAAGGUCAGAUGUGUGAAGGAGGUUGAUGGGUGUGUCCGGGAUGACUCCAACAAGGCUGGUAGAACAUCUGCUGGUAAUGGAGAAGAUGGACCUCCACAAAGUGGGGUCAAAGGAUGAAGAUUACAAGCCAGGAGAAAACAGCUCUCUG